UACGAAGGGGGCUAGCGUUGCUCGGAAUCACUGGGCGUAAAGGGUGCGUAGGCGGGUCUUUUAAGUCAGGGGUGAAAUCCUGGAGCUCAACUCCAGAACUGCCUUUGAUACUGAAGAUCUUGAGUUCGGGAGAGGUGAGUGGAACUGCGAGUGUAGAGGUGAAAUUCGUAGAUAUUCGCAAGAACACCAGUGGCGAAGGCGCUCACUGGCCCGAUACUGACGCUGAGGCGCGAAAGCCG
RNAcentral lists this ribosomal RNA (239 nucleotides) under uncultured bacterium. RNAcentral's name for it is "partial 16S ribosomal RNA". It matches the Rfam family "Bacterial small subunit ribosomal RNA", at positions 524 to 762 of the family's 1533-position model. The record is from RNAcentral.